UCAGGAUGAACGCUGGCGGCGUGCCUUAAGCAUGCAAGUCGAACGCACUGAGAGCAAUCGAAGUGAGUGGCGGACGGGUGAGUAACGCGUAGGGACCUACCCUUUAGUCAAGGAUAGCUCGCCGAAAGGCGGGGUAACCCUGGAUAUUCUCGCGCUUUGCGCGAGAAAAGGCCGUAACUGGCCGCUGAAGGAUGGACCUGCGUCCUAUCAGCUUGUUGGUGGGGUAACGGCCUACCAAGGCGAUGACGGGUAGCUGGUCUGAGAGGAUGGUCAGCCACAAUAGCACUGAGACACGGGCUAUACAACUACGGUUGGCAGCAACUGGGAAUUUUGCGCAAUGGACGAAAGUCUGACGCAGCGACGCCGCGUGGAGGAUGAAGGCCUUCGGGUUGUAAACUUCUUUUAUUCCCGCACAUGCGGGAUUGAAUAAGCACCUGCAAACUACGUGCCAGAAGCCUCGGUAAUACGUAGGGUGCGAGCGUUAUCCGGAUUUAUUGGGCGUAAAGAGUGCCGUAGGCGGUUUGGAAAGUAGCGGGUUAAAGACCUCGACUCAAUCGGGGAAGUGCUCGCUAAACUUCCAGACUCGAGAUCGUUAGGGGAUACUGGAAUUCCUGGUGGAGGGGUGAAAUCCGUUGAUAUCAGGAGGAACACCAAGGGCGAAGGCAAGUAUCUGGGACGAUUCUGACGCUGAUGGACGAAAGCUAGGGGAGCGAAAGGGAUUAGAGACCCCUGUAGUCCUAGCCGUAAACGAUCUCUGCUAGCUGCUUUGCCCCGACGUAAGUCGGGAUGAGGUGGCGUAAGCUAACGCGUUAAGCAGAGCGCCUGAGUAGUACGGCCGCAAGGCUAAAACUCAAAGGAAUUGACGGGGACCUGCACAACCAGUGGAGCAUGUGGUUCAAUUCGAUACGAAGCGAAAAACCUUACCUAGGCUUGACAUGUUAGCUGCAAAUUCGCAGAAAUGCGGACUCUUUCGAAGGUGCUAACAAAGCUGUUGCAUGGCUGUCGUCAGCUCGUGCCGUGGGGUGUUUCCUUAAGUGGAAUAACGAGCGCAACCCCUAUCUGAUGUUAAAUAUUCAUCGGAGAUUGCCCCGAUAUUAUUGGGGAGGAAGGAGGGGACGACGUCAAGUCAGCACGACGCUUAUGUCUAGGGCGACACACAUCCUACAAUGGCGAAGAACAAAGGGUUGCCAAGCCGUAAGGCGGAGCUAAUCCCAGAAAUUUCGCCUCAGUUCAGAUUGAGGGCUGAAACCCGCCCUCAUGAAGUUGGAAUUGGUAGUAAUCGCGGGUCAGAAGACCGCGGUGAAUACGUUCCCA
RNAcentral lists this ribosomal RNA (1314 nucleotides) under uncultured bacterium. RNAcentral's name for it is "bacterial SSU rRNA". It matches the Rfam family "Bacterial small subunit ribosomal RNA", at positions 24 to 1376 of the family's 1533-position model. The record is from RNAcentral.